This 425-nucleotide ribosomal RNA is filed under the name uncultured bacterium. RNAcentral's name for it is "partial 16S ribosomal RNA". It matches the Rfam family "Bacterial small subunit ribosomal RNA", at positions 354 to 796 of the family's 1533-position model. The record is from RNAcentral.
GUUAGGAAUAUUGGACAAUGGGCGCAAGCCUGAUCCAGCCAUGCCGCGUGAGUGAUGAAGGCCUUCGGGUUGUAAAGCUCUUUAGCCGAUGAUUAUAAUGACUGUAGUCGGAAAAUAAGCCCCGGCUAACUUCGUGCCAGCAGCCGCGGUAAUACGAAGGGGGCGAGCGUUAUUCGGAAUCACUGGGCGUCAAGCGUGCGUCGGCGGGUGUGCAAGUUGAGAGUGAAAGCCCAGGGCUCAACCCUGGAAUUGCUCUCAAAACUGCAAGGCUCGAAUUCGAGAGAGGAUAGCGGAAUUGUCAGUGUAGCAGUGAAAUGCGUAGAUAUUGACAGGAACACCAGUGGCGUAAGCGGCUAUCUGGACCGAUAUUGACGCUGAGGCACGAAAGCGUGGGGAUCAAACAGGAUUAGAAACCCUUGUAGUCC